RNAcentral lists this transfer RNA (84 nucleotides) under Blattella germanica (German cockroach). Its description in RNAcentral is "tRNA-Leu (TAA) (tRNA-Leu-TAA-13-1)". It matches the Rfam family "tRNA". Rfam says of the family: Transfer RNA (tRNA) molecules are approximately 80 nucleotides in length. Their secondary structure includes four short double-helical elements and three loops (D, anti-codon, and T loops). The record is from RNAcentral. Lineage: Eukaryota; Metazoa; Arthropoda; Insecta; Blattodea; Blattellidae.
GUCAGAAUGGCCGAGCGGUCUAAGGCUCCAGUCUUAAGUUCUGGUCCUCUAAAGAGGGCGUGGGUUCAAAUCCCACUUCUGACA